Molecule: non-coding RNA, 216 nt
Organism: Pelobates cultripes (western spadefoot toad)
Lineage: Eukaryota; Metazoa; Chordata; Amphibia; Anura; Pelobatidae
Source: the annotation of a GenBank genome assembly
CCCAUGGAGGUCUGGAUUUGGAGUCACACUCAAAAUUAAAGUGGAAAAACACACUACAGGCUGAUCCAACUUUGAUGCAAUGUCCUUAAAACAAGUCAAAAUGAGGCUCAGUAGUGUGUGUGGCCUCCACGUGCCCGUAUGACCUCCCUACAACGCCUGUGCAUGCUCCUGAUGAGGUGGCGGAUGGUCUACUGAGGGAUCUCCUCCCAGAUCUGG